ACUAGGGAAGGAUUUCUUUCUGAAGAUCCCUCUUUUUUGAGUUUUCUACUAGCCUAGGAUGUGGGAAAUCCUAUUUCACUGGCUGAACUGAGCAACGGAAAAGCACCAAAUUCAUAGUGCUACUGCCUGCCACCCAGGAGAUUAAGAAAGAAAAAAUCGCACCCACUGACAUUCAUUGAUGCUUGCUGAACGUUUAUGGAGACCAAAUAGUGGCUGUGAGGACAGUGAAGUGGUGGGUGGUAUAUUUCAGCAGUGGCAGCAGUGAGGUGAAAGACAAGCCACGUUCCAGAUGGUCAUGCAUAGCUGUCAAAACUGUGAAAUGAAGAGCAUCUCAAUCAGCUCAUCCACAUGAAUGAGAUGAUUGUGACCAGGGGACUGUGUACAGAGCUGAAUAUCUGAUUCAACACAUUGGAAACAAUGGUGACAGCAUUAGAAUACUGCAAAGUUUGCACAGGGUGAGUCCCUGGAACAGAAAGAAUGCCACAUGCAAGUUUGUCAAGACUUAUUGAACCAAUAGAAGGAUGAAGGUAACAGUUUCCUUCACCCGCUUUCCUUUAUCACAUUGUUACCAGUGAUAAGAGGUGGUGUCACCAUUACAAGUUGGAGUCAGAAUAGCAGCCCAUGGAGUGGCAACAUGUGAAUUCCCCAACAAAGAAAAUGACACAACCCUCAGCAGGUGAAGUGAUGUGCACUGUCUUUAGGGAUAGGAAAUGGGUGAUCCUUCUGAAUUUUCUGGAACCCAAACAAACUCUUAUCUCUGAACACUACAUCGCAACGCUGACUAAGCUGAAGGCUCAAGCUGCCAGAGUCAGCCAGAGAAGACAACCUUUCUCUUGCAACCCAAUAAUGCCAAGCCCCAUACUAGUUUGAAGAUAGUGGAGUACAUUGUCUAUCUUGGAUAGAGUGUCUUAUCAUGCCUACUGUAUAGUCCAGGUUUGGCACCAUCUGUCUUCUAUUUAUUCUGGAUGAUGAAAGCUUGACUGCAUGGGCAAUGUUUUCCUAGCAAUUAUGCUGUCAUAGCAGCUGUGAAGUAGUGGAUUACCUCUUCUAGAGCAGAUUUUUGUGAGUGUAGCAUGCAUGCUCUUAUCACCAGUGAAAAUGCAUAGAUAAUGGUGAUGACUGUGCUGAAAAAUAAUGUUUUGUAGCUGAAAACUUGCUCUCUCAAAUAGUGUUAUCGUGAUCUUUGAAACUCUUGUAGUUUUUGUGGAAAAAGAAUAGACAGCAUUACUUUUGGAGCAACCUACAUAGAAUGAGC
Tympanuchus pallidicinctus (lesser prairie-chicken) is the source of this 1255-nucleotide long non-coding RNA. RefSeq lists it as uncharacterized. The record is from RefSeq and is a predicted model, not a curated record. The transcript is spliced from 3 exons. Lineage: Eukaryota; Metazoa; Chordata; Aves; Galliformes; Phasianidae.